RNAcentral lists this ribosomal RNA (490 nucleotides) under uncultured bacterium. RNAcentral describes it as "partial 16S ribosomal RNA". It matches the Rfam family "Bacterial small subunit ribosomal RNA", at positions 30 to 507 of the family's 1533-position model. The record is from RNAcentral.
AUUGAACGCUGGCGGCAGGCCUAACACAUGCAAGUCGAACGGUAACAGGAAGCAGCUUGCUGCUUUGCUGACGAGUGGCGGACGGGUGAGUAAUGUCUGGGAAAUUGCCUGAUGGAGGGGGAUAACUACUGGAAACGGUAGCUAAUACCGCAUAACGUCGCAAGACCAAAGAGGGGGACCUUCGGGCCUCUUGCCAUCGGAUGUGCCCAGAUGGGAUUAGCUAGUAGGUGGGGUAACGGCUCACCUAGGCGACGAUCCCUAGCUGGUCUGAGAGGAUGACCAGCCACACUGGAACUGAGACACGGUCCAGACUCCUACGGGAGGCAGCAGUGGGGAAUAUUGCACAAUGGGCGCAAGCCUGAUGCAGCCAUGCCGCGUGUAUGAAGAAGGCCUUCGGGUUGUAAAGUACUUUCAGCGGGGAGGAAGGGAGUAAAGUUAAUACCUUUGCUCAUUGACGUUACCCGCAGAAGAAGCACCGGCUAACUCCGUG